GUGCCAGCAGCCGCGGUAAUACGUAGGGUGCGAGCGUUAAUCGGAAUUACUGGGCGUAAAGGGUGCGCAGGCGGAUAAUUAAGUUAGUAGUGAAAUACCCGGGCUCAACCUGGGAACGGCUAUUAAGACUGGUAAUCUAGAGUUUGUCAGAGGGGGGUGGAAUUCCAAGUGUAGCAGUGAAAUGCGUAGAGAUUUGGAGGAACACCGAUGGCGAAGGCAGCCCCCUGGGAUAAAACUGACGCUCAUGCACGAAAGCGUGGGUAGCAAACAGGAUUAGAUACCCUGGUAGUCC
RNAcentral lists this ribosomal RNA (292 nucleotides) under uncultured bacterium. Its description in RNAcentral is "partial 16S ribosomal RNA". It matches the Rfam family "Bacterial small subunit ribosomal RNA", at positions 505 to 796 of the family's 1533-position model. The record is from RNAcentral.